This 874-nucleotide long non-coding RNA is filed under the name Zonotrichia albicollis (white-throated sparrow). Its description in RNAcentral is "lncRNA (ENSZALG00000011210.1)". Lineage: Eukaryota; Metazoa; Chordata; Aves; Passeriformes; Passerellidae. The record is from RNAcentral.
CAGAGUUUCCUUGUACUGAGCUUAUGCUCUCCACCCACUACUUAGUAAGAACUCCUUAACAACUUAAAGCUUUAUCCCUGUGAGUACCAGAAAAGUGAUCUGAGUAUUUAUUGAGCAGGGAGAACAAACUGCUUGCUCCAGGCAGGGAGAAAGCUUAUGGAAAUGAUAUUAGACCUUCAGCAAAGUGCACAGCUGCAUCAUACAGAACCUGAGACUCAAACUGACAGGCAAAUAAGCCAGAUCACGGAAGGGGCCUCUGUGUGGCAGCUCUGAGCUAUCAAGUGUUGGACAACUAGGCAAAAAGUGCAAUGGAACAGGGCAGAAAAUAACACACUAACUUCAGGCAACUGUUGCUUAUUCAUGGACUGGAAAGAAACAUUUUCCACAGAUGCCAGCUUCUGUCUGCUGUGAUGCUCCACUCUGAGUGAUGCCAUGUUCACCACUGAGCAGUACUGGCAAAGGAGAGCAGCUUCUCAGAAUGAGUCUGCAGUCGCACGGCUGGUGGUGUGGCACAGACGGAGCAAGGGUUACAUCAAGGCUGUUCUCUGGACCGUGCAAACAGUCUAGACCAAUGACCUGCAGCAUCGUGCCCUUUGAAGAAGAGGCAAGUUCAGUCACGACGAAGAAAAAUCAAGGCGUACCCCUUUUAACAAUAGGGAGCAGCUCGUGGCUGCAAAGAGGUGUGCAGCUGCCAUUCCAGGUGUGCAGCUGCCAUUCCACCUCACAGCAGGGCUGUGUUUGCUGCUCCACAAGCUGCAGAAAAGGCAGAGAGAGAAAGGAACACAGAAAGACACCAAAGCUGAGAUCUUCAAAGUACCCAAACUCCAUCAGGAAAGUUUUUGGUACCUUGCUGGUCUGUGGAUCUGUGGAGUGA